AAGCUGACGAGUCCCAAAUAGGACGAAACGCGCAUCCUGGAU
Molecule: non-coding RNA, 42 nt
Filed under: Schistosoma curassoni
Lineage: Eukaryota; Metazoa; Platyhelminthes; Trematoda; Strigeidida; Schistosomatidae
Source: RNAcentral